Molecule: ribosomal RNA, 393 nt
Filed under: uncultured bacterium
Lineage: Bacteria
Description: partial 16S ribosomal RNA
Rfam family: Bacterial small subunit ribosomal RNA
Source: RNAcentral
AUACGGAAGGUCCGGGCGUUAUCCGGAUUUAUUGGGUUUAAAGGGAGCGCAGGCGGAGAUGCAAGCGUGACGUCAAAUUUCGGGGCUCAACCCCGUCUCGCGUCGCGAACUGCGUCCCUUGGUUGCGGGAAGGGGAGGCGGAACUCGUGGUGUAGCGGUGAAAUGCAUAGAUAUCACGAAGAACUCCGAUCGCGAAGGCAGCCUUCCGGCCCGUCAACGACGCUCAUGCUCGAAGGUGCGGGUAUCAAACAGGAUUAGAUACCCUGGUAGUCCGCACAGUAAACAAUGGACACCCGCGGUUUGGCCUGUAUGGCUGAGCCGCCAAGCGAAAGCGUUAAGUGUCCCACCUGGGGAGUACGCCGGCAACGGUGAAACUCAAAUGAAUUGACGGGG